This 432-nucleotide ribosomal RNA is filed under the name uncultured bacterium. RNAcentral describes it as "partial 16S ribosomal RNA". It matches the Rfam family "Bacterial small subunit ribosomal RNA", at positions 29 to 507 of the family's 1533-position model. The record is from RNAcentral.
ACGCACGCUGGCGGCAUGCCUCACCCCUGCCAGUCGCACGCGACCUUCGGGUCUAGUGGCGCACGGGUGCGUCACGCGUGGGAACCUGCCCUUAGGUUCGGAAUAACUCCCCGAAAGGGGUGCUAAUACCGGAUAAUGUCUUCGGACCAAAGAUUUAUCGCCUUUGGAUGGGCCCGCGUUGGAUUAGCUAGUUGGUAGGGUAAAAGCCUACCAAGGCGACGAUCCAUAGCUGGUCUGAGAGGAUGAUCAGCCACACUGGGACUGAGACACGGCCCAGACUCCUACGGGAGGCAGCAGUGGGGAAUAUUGGACAAUGGGCGAAAGCCUGAUCCAGCAAUGCCGCGUGAGUGAUGAAGGCCUUAGGGUUGUAAAGCUCUUUUACCCGGGAUGAUAAUGGCAGUACCGGGAGAAUAAGCUCCGGCUAACUCCGUG